UACGAGAGGCCCAAACGUUAUUCGGAUUUACUGGGCUUAAAGAGUUCGUAGGCGGUCUAGCAAGUGAGGUGUGAAAUCCCUUGGCUCAACCAAGGAAUUGCGCUUCAAACUGCUAGGCUCGAGGGAGAUAGAGGUGAGCGGAACUGAUGGUGGAGCGGUGAAAUGCGUUGAUAUCAUCAGGAACACCAGAGGCGAAGGCGGCUCACUGGGUCUCUUCUGACGCUGAGGAACGAAAGCUAGGGGAGCAAACGGG
RNAcentral lists this ribosomal RNA (253 nucleotides) under uncultured bacterium. RNAcentral describes it as "partial 16S ribosomal RNA". It matches the Rfam family "Bacterial small subunit ribosomal RNA", at positions 524 to 776 of the family's 1533-position model. The record is from RNAcentral.